RNAcentral lists this long non-coding RNA (418 nucleotides) under Struthio camelus australis. RNAcentral describes it as "lncRNA (ENSSCUG00000007911.1)". Lineage: Eukaryota; Metazoa; Chordata; Aves; Struthioniformes; Struthionidae. The record is from RNAcentral.
CCAGCCUUUCUCCCACAGAGUGCUUUGGAGCGAGUACGUUUCUGUAACGCAGGACAGAGCCUGGGGAGGACUGCAGAGCAUCUGUUGGAAGAUGUCCUGUGCAACGACUACCCCUCCUGAUCCUGCACACCAUACUCUUUGAGCUACAUUGAACAUGCUGGAAGGAUCACAGAACAAGGCUGCUCGUGCAGAGAAAAGGAAAACACCCCCCGUUUUGCUGAGCCCCAGCAGGAUGAACAGAGGGAAAAGGUGCUCCAGAGCGGGAAGAAAUUGUGAAGAAAUAGGUUUGCGAACUCUGUUUAUAUUGGAUUGUUUGAAAUUUGUCCUGAGAGCUGCCUUCUGGGGACAACUGUCCUGCUCUGAAGGAGAGCGAGAGCAGAGACACAUGUGCAAGAGAAGCUGUGUAUGGGACUCUUAG